ACAACGAAGAGUUUGAUCCUGGCUCAGGAUGAACGCUAGCGACAGGCUUAACACAUGCAAGUCGAGGGGCAGCACGGAGCAGCAAUGUUCUGGUGGCGACCGGCGCACGGGUGCGUAACGCGUAUGUAACCAACCUGCGGGUGCGGGACAGCCCGGCGAAAGCCGGAUUAAUACCGCAUGAAACAUUUUAUCUGCAUGGGAAGAAUG
Ribosomal RNA from Bacteroidales bacterium Barb6XT, 207 nucleotides. It matches the Rfam family "Bacterial small subunit ribosomal RNA", at positions 1 to 200 of the family's 1533-position model. The record is from Rfam. Lineage: Bacteria; Pseudomonadati; Bacteroidota; Bacteroidia; Bacteroidales.